Molecule: ribosomal RNA, 427 nt
Filed under: uncultured bacterium
Lineage: Bacteria
Description: partial 16S ribosomal RNA
Rfam family: Bacterial small subunit ribosomal RNA
Source: RNAcentral
UGGGGAAUAUUGGACAAUGGGGGCAACCCUGAUCCAGCCAUGCCGCGUGUGUGAAGAAGGCCUUUUGGUUGUAAAGCACUUUAAGCAGUGAAGAAGACUCCAUGGUUAAUACCCAUGGACGAUGACAUUAGCUGCAGAAUAAGCACCGGCUAACUCUGUGCCAGCAGCCGCGGUAAUACAGAGGGUGCAAGCGUUAAUCGGAAUUACUGGGCGUAAAGCGAGCGUAGGUGGCUUGAUAAGUCAGAUGUGAAAGCCCCGGGCUUAACCUGGGAACGGCAUCUGAUACUGUUAGGCUAGAGUAGGUGAGAGGAAGGUAGAAUUCCAGGUGUAGCGGUGAAAUGCGUAGAGAUCUGGAGGUAUACCGAUGGCGAAGGCAGCCUUCUGGCAUCAUACUGACACUGAGGUUCGAAAGCGUGGGUAGCAAACA